GCCCCGGUAGCUCAGCAGGACAGAGCGUCCCCCUCCUAAGGGGAAGGUCACACGUUCAAGUCGUGUCCGGGGCGCCA
Molecule: transfer RNA, 77 nt
Filed under: Methylothermus subterraneus
Lineage: Bacteria; Pseudomonadati; Pseudomonadota; Gammaproteobacteria; Methylococcales; Methylothermaceae
Also listed under: 1 other name
Description: tRNA-Arg
Rfam family: tRNA
About the family: Transfer RNA (tRNA) molecules are approximately 80 nucleotides in length. Their secondary structure includes four short double-helical elements and three loops (D, anti-codon, and T loops).
Source: RNAcentral